CGCGGCUUCUUAAAUCCGCCUCGAUUCCUUCCUCCUCCGCUCGCCUCCAGUUCCCCAAAUCCACCUUCCGCCGGCCCAAUUAAAUUAAUGGCGGAGAGAGAUGGCCGCCCACUUCCCUGCUCCCUCGCCUAUUACUUCCCCUGAUAUCGUCGGUCGCCCUACUCUCUGGUUCGCUUGGUGCAGGUCGGGAACCGAUCAGUCAUCGCGCCGCCUACGUCUCGGACGGCGUAGAAGCUCCAAGCUUCCUGCUACCCCUUGCUCGUUCGGUUCCCCACUUGCAUCAAGUGAAUUCGAGAGUAAUUGGCGAGAAAGGAAGCUCCUCGAUUGGAUUUGGGUCUUCGAUCGUUGGUGGUGUCUUCAGAUGAUCUAGCAAGUGGGGUUUUUUUGUUCUUCAUCUUGUACGAAGUAGACCUGCUAUCCCUAUUAUCAUCCUCUUUCAUCUAGAGAAAAAAACACGAUCUUGGUGUUUAUUUAUCAUUUGUGAUAUUUGGUAGUAAUUCUCAUUAACUCAGUAAUCUGGCACGUUAUUGUUCUUCAUCUUGUCGACUAAUUAAAAUUUAUUAAAUAGAAGAAAACUUCUUUCUUCUGGGCGAGAUUGGGAUUAGAAACGCUAGGCGACAAUGAAUCAAACAGCUAAAAUGUUAGUAGUAACAGGCUGGCCAGAUUAAAAAAAAAUGUGAUCAAUGGCAUCCGUGCUUUUCUCAGACUCUGACAACGAAGGAAUGAAGGUAUUAUUGUAGCAAAAGAUGUCCGUUCCAAAAAGUAAUGAAGAUACUGUGUGGCAAACAGUAGACACGUAAGAGUUUCGAUACCAAAAUCUUAUAUAGUAACACUCUUUUUAACCAUUGUACCGCCCGAGGGACCAGGAAUGAAGACAAAGUUGUUGGAAUCUUGUAGCUUUUUCAUAUGCUCAAAGGAGAAGGAGUGCUUUACUCUAAGAAGGUGAAAAAAAAACCCAAAACAUGUUAGUGGGGAGAUGGAUAACCCAGACUAAAUUGCUUCUCUUUCCAUUUCCAUCUAUUUUUGGAGGAACGAAUUUGAUGGAAGAAGGGAUUUGUCAUUUGUGGCAUCCUUCCUUUACUAUCUGCCAUUUUUUCUUCACUCUUUUUAUAUUUUUGUUCCUGGCCUGUCAACAAAAGUUUAAAAAUGGUGAAAAAAUGGGUUUGUUUUGUUGGAUACUGCCGGGAAAAGUUCUUGUCACUGAGGCAAAGUUACCCGCCUUGAUUUAUAUGGGAUUUUCUGUGCUUCGUGUUUGUAUUAUUGCGUCACGAACUUUUGGUGAUACAGUCAUGCGUGAUUGCGGGACGCUUACUAAUGGGCAAAAGCAGUCUGCAGUACUUUAGAUUAAUGAUCUGAAAUGACUUGUCUGGUAAUGUGGGAUCGUUGUCAGUGAAUUGAUAUUUUAAUCGAUAUAGGGUAACUGAAAGUUCAGACUAGCCGACAGAGGAUCGUCUCUAAUCUGGAUGAAUGUGUCAGGCCAACAUAGAAUAUAAUUGAACAUCUAAAUUCACAUACGGAUUUGUCUUGAUAUUUGAGGUUGAAUGUUUAUUUUUUCCUUGG
Zingiber officinale is the source of this 1560-nucleotide RNA transcript. RefSeq lists it as uncharacterized. The record is from RefSeq and is a predicted model, not a curated record. NCBI's taxonomy places the organism in Eukaryota, Viridiplantae, Streptophyta, Magnoliopsida, Zingiberales, Zingiberaceae. The transcript is spliced from 2 exons.